Molecule: ribosomal RNA, 761 nt
Filed under: Prevotella nigrescens
Lineage: Bacteria; Pseudomonadati; Bacteroidota; Bacteroidia; Bacteroidales; Prevotellaceae
Description: bacterial SSU rRNA
Rfam family: Bacterial small subunit ribosomal RNA
Source: RNAcentral
GAUGAACGCUGGCUACAGGCUUAACACAUGCAAGUCGUGGGGAAACGGCAUUAUGUGCUUGCACAUUCUGGACGUCGACCGGCGCACGGGUGAGUAUCGCGUAUCCAACCUGCCCCUUACUUGGGGAUACCCCGUUGAAAGACGGCCUAAUACCCGAUGUGUUUCAUUGACGGCAUCCGAUAUGAAACAAAGGUUUUCCGGUAAGGGAUGGGGAUGCGUCUGAUUAGCUUGUUGGCGGGGCAACGGCCCACCAAGGCGACGAUCAGUAGGGGUUCUGAGAGGAAGGUCCCCCACAUUGGAACUGAGACACGGUCCAAACUCCUACGGGAGGCAGCAGUGAGGAAUAUUGGUCAAUGGACGCAAGUCUGAACCAGCCAAGUAGCGUGCAGGAUGACGGCCCUAUGGGUUGUAAACUGCUUUUAUGUGGGAAUAAAGUGGCGCACGUGUGCGCCAUUGCAUGUACCUCAUGAAUAAGGACCGGCUAAUUCCGUGCCAGCAGCCGCGGUAAUACGGAAGGUCCGGGCGUUAUCCGGAUUUAUUGGGUUUAAAGGGAGUGUAGGCGGUCUGUUAAGCGUGUUGUGAAAUUUAGGUGCUCAACAUUUAACUUGCAGCGCGAACUGUCAGACUUGAGUACACGCAGCGCAGGCGGAAUUCAUGGUGUAGCGGUGAAAUGCUUAGAUAUCAUGAGGAACUCCGAUCGCGAAGGCAGCCUGCGGGAGUGUUACUGACGCUUAAGCUCGAAGGUGCGGGUAUCGAACAGG